RNAcentral lists this ribosomal RNA (301 nucleotides) under uncultured bacterium. Its description in RNAcentral is "partial 16S ribosomal RNA". It matches the Rfam family "Bacterial small subunit ribosomal RNA", at positions 509 to 809 of the family's 1533-position model. The record is from RNAcentral.
CAGUCGCCGCGGGAAUACGGAGGGUGCAAGCGUUAAUCGGAAUUACUGGGCGUAAAGCGCACGCAGGCGGUCUGUCAAGUCAGAUGUGAAAUCCCCGGGCUUAACCUGGGAACUGCAUUUGAAACUGGCAGGCUAGAGUCUUGUAGAGGGGGGUAGAAUUCCAGGUGUAGCGGUGAAAUGCGUAGAGAUCUGGAGGAAUACCGGUGGCGAAGGCGGCCCCCUGGACAAAGACUGACGCUCAGGUGCGAAAGCGUGGGGAGCAAACAGGAUUAGAUACCCGAGUAGUCCCUGUCUCUUAUAA